UGAGAGAAUAAUGUGUCCUAGGGGGGUCCCUUGCCUCUCCUUAUAUAGUUCGGAGGGCAGGGUUACAGAUCUAGAAACUAAUCCUAGCCGGUUACAAUUGCCAUAGAUAGUUCGAUAUCAAUUCCUAUUCUAACCGACUAGAAUCUUGCUUGAUCUCCACGUCUCGUUUCCUUGCGCGAAACCCCGAGCUGUCGGAUCAAGCCUUG
This 206-nucleotide long non-coding RNA is filed under the name Sorghum bicolor (sorghum). RNAcentral's name for it is "long non-coding RNA (SBIC_LNC008682)". Lineage: Eukaryota; Viridiplantae; Streptophyta; Magnoliopsida; Poales; Poaceae. The record is from RNAcentral.